Peromyscus maniculatus bairdii (prairie deer mouse) is the source of this 767-nucleotide non-coding RNA. The record is from RefSeq and is a predicted model, not a curated record. Lineage: Eukaryota; Metazoa; Chordata; Mammalia; Rodentia; Cricetidae.
GUGGCCCAUUAGGACUGCUGGGGGUGGGGGAUGGGGAAAGGCAGCUGGACCCGGAGAUGAGCGAGAGAAUCAGGAAGGGAUGCAGCCAUAAGCAAGCUGCAGGUCACACCCCGACCUUCCCCAGGAAACACCAGAGCCUGCCCUGCCCCCGGUUCCCUACUCCCCUGACUCCCAACCAGAGCACACAUAUCUAAGGAAAUCAUUGUGGUGUCCAAGAACAAGGGAGAAAAUAUGGAGGUACAAACGCUCGUGAAAGAACAAAUUCCUCACCAGGAGGGGAGGAGUAUGGUGGCGCCAACAGAGCAGGAGACCGACGACGACGACGACGACGACGACGACGACACUGUGAAGGCUGUCAGAAGCAAAAAUAGAGCCACUCUUUGUUAUAGUGAAGGGAUCUCCUCUAGGCCUGACGUGCCAUCCUGCCGGUCAUCAUAGAGCAGAGAUGUGUGAAGACCCGAAGAAUGAAUGACAUCUAGGUUUAUGGUAAUGGUAGUGGGGCUGUUAAUAUUCACUCACAGGAAAAGGAGAUAAUUGCAUCCCUGUUUUUUAUCCUGGGGGUCUUGGGGGUUCCUAUUGGAGCAUAUAGGGAGUGGAAGGCUGGCUGGAGGUGGGAAUUCCCAUGAUGCAGCUUUCCCGAGUUAUCAUCCAUGCUGAGGUGGAACUUCUUGAUAAUAUAAUUGUUGAUUCACCCAUGAUCCUAUAAGUAACCCCUUCCCAAGUCCUGUCAGUAAUUCCAAUAAACUUACUUGGCUCACCAAUUUGAA